This is a non-coding RNA of Rhopilema esculentum, 4441 nucleotides long. The record is from RefSeq and is a predicted model, not a curated record. NCBI's taxonomy places the organism in Eukaryota, Metazoa, Cnidaria, Scyphozoa, Rhizostomeae, Rhizostomatidae.
UUGAUACUUUGUAUUACCCCAAUUUCAGCUUUCAAUAAUAAAUUUAAUUUUUGUCAGUUACUAAAUUAUAUUUCAGAGAUAAGGAUAGCCUAGCCUAACAGUUAUACUUAAAUACUUAAUUUAAACAUCACUGCUGGAAGUAUGUUUUUAAGAGCAUAUGCUGUCAAGUAACAGAUCUGUAUCACCAGUAGUCAAUUAAUGAAUUGCCAAAUUCCUUUUGAAGAAGAAACAGUUUCUACCAAUAUAGUUUAGCUGUAAUUUUAAGGAACAGUCAUCUAAUAGUUUUUUCAAGGAUGGGAAUAUGUGUAUCACCAUUGGUCAGACUUAGGGCACUUAGGGGAGAGUUUGGGUGAAUUUCUUCUAAAAAAAGGCUUGUACUGUUUUUCAUAUUCUUAUGCUAGAAAUUGCCAGAAAACUGGCCUCUGACGUUAAAGCACAUGUGUCGUGAACAUGAUUGGCUAAUGCAAUACAAUUAUCUUUUUCGGUUUGGUAGAAAGCAUGAAAUCGAGGGUGAAUUUUUGCUGAAGAAGAAGUGAAAAAUCACGAAACAAUGAAAUUCGACUCCAAACGCUUUUGUUUCAUUAGCCAAUUGUUAAUCCGACAUAUGCCUUUUAAAUUCGAAAGCCAAGAGUAAAUUAUAAGAAAAUGUCAACCGACUACAAUUUAGCAGAAUGAUGUAAACAUUUCCAAAUGGCCGUGUGUGCCUACUAUGAUAAAAAGCGUAUGAAACUUAUUCAAGUGACCCCACGUAUAGAGACUUCAUCUAUAAGGCAACAAGCUGAAACAUCUUCUAAGUCCUAAGACGCUUCUACCUCGACUAUUACAUAAACCAGACAAGUCCACGCCAGACUAUUGUGUUUUGGCAAACAAAGUAAUGAAACAACUGUUAUAUCUACAGUGUUAUUUCGAACAAGAAUACGAAUGCAAGACAUAAUAAUAUGAAAUCAUUGAAAUGGAUUCUUAGUUUUUAACGCUGUUGAGUAGAACAAAUAGCGAUUAGUGAAUCAGAUUACUGAGUAGUCGAUAGAAUUUUAAAAUUCAAUCCUUUGAGGAGACAUCGUAUACAGAACCGUCAUACAUUAGAACGAUUCUUGAAUGUGUUCCUCUGUUUUACAGCGCUGACAUCAACUUCUAUUAACCGGUCUCGUGUUUCUGCUCAAAUAACACAGCAAAGUAGCAGGGCAUUACAAUCGCUUCAUGCUGAGUAUGUGUACUUCAUUAUAAGAGCUUCGGCAGUGACGUAGCUGUUAUUUUAGGUCGUAUAUAUAAAAGUGGCUGUCUUGCUACCACACUAAAGUGCGCGCUGUCUGAUUAUGCCGUCUGAAAAUACUCUCCCUUUCCUAGAUAGUGUCGGGAAAAACUUUGGUUUUUGAUAUUCAUAGAAAGAAACUAUUAACUUCAAAAGUUGGAGAAAUGUAGAAUGAUUUUUCAUAGUGAAAAAUAUUGAAAAAUUCAUCAGAUGAAAAGUGUAUUCAUCUACUUUUGGCAGGUCUAUCCAUCGAGGUACGUUUGAUUUGCGUUACAAAGGACAUAGUUCUCGGCCAGUACCCGCCUGUUGUUCGUGCUUACCAGUUCUGCACGUGUAUUUACAGUGUCCUCUAACAGGUGGCUACAUGCUCUAAUGAUCUGGAGAUUGUCGUCGUGGAAACAUUGCCGUUGAGCCUAAUUACGUAUACAGUAAUUAUAGAGAUUUUUACGUCUGUUUUUUGUUAACUCUGACUGUUGUGUCGUAGCCAACACUUUUUGUAUACAUUGUGUAUCAAACGAUUGUUAAAAAUAUUGGCGUCUCUAAGUGGAACAAGAUGAGUUGAAAAUGUGCUUCAAACUUUAGAAGCUUAAAGGACUAUUGUGGAUCAGAGUGUGACGGAUUAAACCCGAAAUGGCUCCUUUCCGAUGAGAAGCAGAUUUUCGCCAAAGUAACAAAAGUAUAAGAUUAUAGCGGAUGUGUAAUCUCACAGUUUCCAAACGCAUUUUGCGUGUCUAGAUGUCAACUGGCUUGCUCUUGAGGCUAAAUUUGGUUUAAAAUUGAAGCAGUAGCUUCAUAUUUUGGCAAGUUUUUCAAGAAAUAGAGAGAUCAACAUGUUUUCGAAAGUAUACGUUUUAUUCUUACUUGUUGUUUAUAUUUUUCAUGGAGGUAGCUGCGACUCUGUGCCGGAAGAUCUUCUUACUGAUAAUCAAGAGCAAUUAGAGCACUGGAAACAAGGAAAUCUUAUUGACAGUAUUCUCAAUCAACUUCCAUUCUUGGGUGGAUCAAACGAAAACGAGCAAGCUGCUUAUGAUUCGAAAAAUUCACAAACUAGAGAAUCUGUGGACAAAAAGGCUAGCCAAAUAGCUAGUCCAACAGUGCCAAUCAAGUCAAUUGUCCCAAGUCCAUCGAGUUUUGGUUCUGUCAGUACAGAGAAGAUGAGCAUUUCUCGCUCAUCAAAUGAAAGUAUGUCGAAGUCAGUAAUCAGAAACAGUACUGAACUUUUAGGUACACCAGCCUUAAAACCAACGAAAGUCCUAAACAGCACAAGUAUCGUGUUCUCAAAGAACGUUUCUAGCUCGCGACACUUGAACACUACAAACACGACAGUAAACAGCACGACCAACGUGUCAUUGGUAACGAGAGUAAAUGAACAUGCCUCUCUGUUCUCUCAUUUCGUUUCUACAUUGAACUUAUCAACAACUCCGUUGUUUAUUUCAUCAUCGCCCGCAGCGCAUAGCAGCCUUAUGAUAUCAGAUACAGCACAAAAGACUAUAUCAUCAUUUAGUACGAGUUUUGGCAACACAAAGAACACGGUUUCACGUGUCGCGGGGACGAACACAAACCCAUCAAAGUCAAAGUCAGAUACGUAUGCAUCCACUGUUUACCCAUCAAGCCCUACUGUGGGUAUGCCUGUUCUUCCAGAUGAAAAGGAUAUGGAGGUUAUGUACCUGAGGCAAUAAAGAACGAAAAGGGCAUUGGGUUCGUAUACGUGAAUGUGUUGUUACCGAUAGCAUCUGGUGUUGUCGGAGCUUUGCUUAUCUCUAUUGCAAUUUUGCUGUUUCGCUGCUGCAGAAGAAGAAAGCUAAAGAAGGUUCGAUAUUUCGGUAGAAAGCAACAAAGAGAUUUUGUGCAGCUGGACAGAAUGAAUCUUCUGACAGACACAAGUGAUGAAGAAGACUUUGAUUGAAGCUACUGUAGCCCCUAGUUGUUACAGAGACUAAUCCACAGAUUUGGCUGUAUACAGAAACACUUGCAAAUUAAACACACUAUCGACAUACAGCUGUCAGGCAUAUUAAAGGAUAUUUGAUGAGGAUGUAAUUAUGGCUUUGUACUAACAGAAUACAAACUGCUUGACAGAGCCUGGAUAGUUAGUAAUAAAGCAUACAUCAGAGUAUUUUAGGCUAUUUAUCAUAAAAACUGUAGAUUAAAUUUGUCUUUGUAAGUUAAACUGAUUAAGAAAUCUUUAAAAAUUUAAGGUGUUGUUCCUAAUGUUAGCGGCAAAACAGAAAUACAAAAAACCUCCUGAUUGUUAAUAUAACUCAAUUUAUCUUCAUUAAAAGUCACAAAAAAGUAUUCCUCAGUAGUCAGGAUGACAUCAACCUUUUAAGAAACACAAAAUCUAAUUGAAAAAGUGACUUAAUCAAGGCAGUUACUGCUAAUGCAAUCCACAUCCUAUGUGGAAAAUUUGAAAAAUCUAUUUCAAUGAAUAAUAGUGGUCAAAUGUAAAAAAUUUCAUGCCUUAAGGAUCUUUCACAGUGCAUCCUGGCUUGCCAACAGAAAACCAAUCAUCUUAUGACGACCAAACACAUUUACACAAAAUAUUUCCUGAAUGACACUGCACAGGAGUGUUCUAUUAGGGGUAUUGACUGGCUUCUCCAUUGGUACAGUUUAUGCAACAGCAAUACCAAACAUUGCUUUCACAAUUACUGAAGCAAUUUACAAAAUCAUAUAUUAUGUGGGUCACAAGAAGGCAAAAAGAGGGUGUGAUCAGCACUGCUUUGUCAUAGAAAAACAAUCAGAGAUGCGAACAAAUAGUUAUAGGGAUCCUACUACAUAAAAAUUUAUAUUAAAUAUAUCAAGCAAAAGAUUAUAUAAAAUUACUGUUUGAAAAUAAAGGUUAGACACUAACCAAUCACAAUGAUUUUACAAGUGCUUCAAAGGUAUUAUGAUAGUGUUCACAAAACUGAAAUCGGCACAUUUCUAUUUAGCAAUCUUUGAUAACUUCAAUGGGUUGUGUUAUAUCAUUAAAAAGAACUAUGUACUUUAAAGAGAAUUAAUAAACAUAAGUUGUGCUGUUUGACUUAUGAUUUUCAAAUUCAAUUCAAUUUGCAUUGUAAAUCAGCUGUUUCUAAUAACAUAGUUGUAUGAAGCGUCUAGAAACAAAGAGUAGUUUCAUUUUAAUUGAUUGCCUGUUUAUAGAUGUGAAGUUAACCAAUUUUAGAUUUGUGUUACCAAUGUUUCCUCCGCCUUAAA